GUUUUAUAUGGCUAACUAAUCUAAUCCAUUUGUAAUGGAUUUAUUAUCGUCACAGAAAUCAAGAGAUAACCAUUUAUUGUCUGCGGAACGUUUACGCAGAGCCGGAGAGCUAAUCCUACAUGGGUUAGUUGCUCGACUAGCCGGCCAUCAAGUGGCUUGAUAGAGUAAUGCAGGUGUGUGCGCGCGUGUGUGGAAAGCAUCUGAUCUGGAACGCUGUCUUUUCCCGCGCCCACCUUCUCUCUCCCCUCUCGCCUGCGCGCUCCGACCCGCUCGCUCUCCAGCCAUCGCCAGGAGCAGUGUGUGGUAGGCUACAGUUUAACAGCAGCAGCGCUGGCUUUCUAAAGAAAGCUUAGCUCUCACUUUUCUGUCUGUCUUAUUACCGCUCUCAUUGUCUCUUGCGACAGCUGGAACGGAGCAGCCACCUACUCUCCUCCUCAACCAUUUAUUCACUUGGGGCCUGUAUUUGGAAUAAGAAAGCAUUGCUGUUUCUGACUGGAGAGAAGGAAGAUAAAACUCAUCUGGAUUUCCUAAGGAAUUUUAUCUGGAUGCUUUGUUACCGAGGCUUUUGAAUUCAUCAGCCGGGGUAAAUAUCCUUUCAGAUCAAUGACCAGGAAGGAGAGGGGAUGGGGAAAGGAUGGUAUAGGAAGAGUAUUGGGACGUAGCUGUUGUGCUUGCUUACCUCUCCCUACCAGCAGCCUCGGGGCUCUCAGAGCUCUGCUCUAAUUAGGCCUCAGUCAUUUCACCCUCUUACUUCACGGCUGAUACUACAGGGAAGUUGUCGGCAUACCAGGGCAUGCUAGCAUUUCUUACUGACACCAUGAGGGGCACAUUUGGUCUUUGUUACAGAAUAUGUGUGUGGAUUUGUUGUAGAAUAAGUAUGGUGGUUUUGUGGUCAGACAACUGUGUGAGAGGCUGCUGCAGUGUACUGUACUUAUACAAGUGAUUUUGGUUUUAAAAGAACGAGGAGAUACUAUAAUUGAUGGACUACUGUUUUUGAAUGUUUUCAUAGGUAUUUGUAUGAUACAUUUAUUGUUAGUUUAGGAACUGAUGAUUUUGCAUAUUGUUUAUUAGGCAAUAUGUAUUCUGCUGAAACCACAUAAUUGCUUUAAUUAAACCUUACAAUGAUUAACCUUAAUACUGUUGCUAAAUUAGAUAAAUGUAUUAAUUUUGUGACGUUAGCAGUUUCUUAUAAGACAAUGGCUGUUCCACUUAGAAUAUAUUUUUGUUAUUAAAAUC
Long non-coding RNA from Oncorhynchus tshawytscha (Chinook salmon), 1236 nucleotides. Lineage: Eukaryota; Metazoa; Chordata; Actinopteri; Salmoniformes; Salmonidae. The record is from Ensembl.